RNAcentral lists this unclassified non-coding RNA (404 nucleotides) under fungal sp. RNAcentral describes it as "partial internal transcribed spacer region". The stretch from base 1 to 46 matches the Rfam family "Eukaryotic small subunit ribosomal RNA", at positions 1786 to 1831 of the family's 1831-position model. Lineage: Eukaryota; Fungi. The record is from RNAcentral.
AAGUCGUAACAAGGUUUCCGUAGGUGAACCUGCGGAAGGAUCAUUAUCACGUAUCCACGUAUAAACCAUUGUGAACCGUUCUUUAACCUCUGCGAUGUGGGGUCCGAGCAGUUGUUGUUGCGAUGCUUUGAGUGACGAACCUUAGUUACGAGCUCAAUACCUCGUAAAAGCUUCUGCGCUAUUCGUUUGAAGAGAAAAAAUUUCUGACAAUAGCUCGUAACGACUUCAAACAGUACGGGUCCACCAUUGCAGAGUGUAUCACAACCUAUUAACCAUUUUAACCAAUCUUUAUAACUUUAUGAACUAACUUUAUUUUAUACUCUUCGGAGAUAAAAUUCAUUACGAAACAAAGAACAACUCUUAGCAACGGAUAUCUUGGUUCUCGUAACGAUGAAAAACGCAGC